CGAACGCUGGCGGCGUGCUUACCACAUGCAAGUCGAACGGAAAGGCCCUGCUUUUGUGGGGUGCUCGAGUGGCGAACGGGUGAGUAACACGUGAGUAACCUGCCCUUGACUUUGGGAUAACUUCAGGAAACUGGGGCUAAUACCGGAUAGGAGCUCCUGCUGCAUGGUGGGGGUUGGAAAGUUUCGGCGGUUGGGGAUGGACUCGCGGCUUAUCAGCUUGUUGGUGGGGUAGUGGCUUACCAAGGCUUUGACGGGUAGCCGGCCUGAGAGGGUGACCGGCCACAUUGGGACUGAGAUACGGCCCAGACUCCUACGGGAGGCAGCAGUGGGGAAUAUUGCACAAUGGGCGGAAGCCUGAUGCAGCAACGCCGCGUGCGGGAUGGCGGCCUUCGGGUUGUAAACCGCUUUCGCCUGUGACGAAGCGUGAGUGACGGUAAUGGGUAAAGAAGCACCGGCUAACUACGUG
RNAcentral lists this ribosomal RNA (466 nucleotides) under uncultured bacterium. RNAcentral describes it as "partial 16S ribosomal RNA". It matches the Rfam family "Bacterial small subunit ribosomal RNA", at positions 30 to 507 of the family's 1533-position model. The record is from RNAcentral.